UGGGGGAUAUUGCACAAUGGGCGAAAGCCUGAUGCAGCGACGCCGCGUGGGGGAUGAAGGCUUUCGGGUUGUAAACCUCUUUCGCUAUCGAACAAGGCCCGCUUAGGGUGGGUUGAGGGUCGGUGGAGAAGAAGCGCCGGCUAACUACGUGCCAGCAGCCGCGGUAGUACGUAGGGCGCGAGCGUUGUCCGGAAUUAUUUGGCGUAAAGGGCUUGUAGGCGGCUUGUUGCUCCUGCUGUGAAAUCGCGGGGCUUAACUUCGCGCGUGCAGUGGGUACGGGCAGGGUUGAGUGUGGUAGGGGUGACUGGAAUUCCAGGUGUAGCGGUGGAAUGCGCAGAUAUCUGGAGGGACACCGAUGGCGAAGGGAGGUCACUGGGCCAUUACUGACGCUGAGGAGCGAAAGCAUGGGUAGCGAACAGG
This 420-nucleotide ribosomal RNA is filed under the name bacterium. RNAcentral describes it as "partial 16S ribosomal RNA". It matches the Rfam family "Bacterial small subunit ribosomal RNA", at positions 355 to 776 of the family's 1533-position model. The record is from RNAcentral.